Capsicum annuum is the source of this 2463-nucleotide RNA transcript. It is a transcript of the gene named serine carboxypeptidase-like 2, with no coding region annotated. Lineage: Eukaryota; Viridiplantae; Streptophyta; Magnoliopsida; Solanales; Solanaceae. The transcript has 16 exons. The record is from RefSeq and is a predicted model, not a curated record.
GGUACUAAAAAGCAGAAAGCGCAGAGUGUUGAGCAGGGGAAAUGGAAGUGGGAAAGCUGGUUUUGGUGUUGAGUUAUUUACAAUAUGGAUACCCUCUAUUUUUCCUUUACGUCAUCUUCCUUUCAGUUGAGAGAACUCCACAGUCACAUGAAGUAUCCACUUCCUCAGUCAAGUAUUUGCCAGGCUUCGGUUUUCUUCCUUUUCAACUUGAUACAGGAUAUAUAGGAGUUGGUGAAGGUGAACAAGUGCAACUUUUCUAUUAUUUUGUGAAGUCAGAGUCGGAUCCUGAAACCGACCCGCUUAUACUAUGGAUCACUGGUGGACCCGGUUGCUCUUCACUUGAAGGAUUGACUAUGGAAUUUGGUCCUCUGCACUUUGAUGAUAUGGAGUAUAAUGGUGAUUUACCUACUCUAUCAUUGAAUAACCAUUCAUGGACAAAGGUGGCAAGCAUAAUCUUUCUAGAUUUGCCUGUGAAGACCGGAUUUUCUUAUGCAACAACAGAAAAGGCAAAUAAUACAGAUAAUUUACAAACUGGCGAACAUGCUUACCAAUUUCUUCGGAAGUGGUUGGCUAAUCAUUCAAAGUUCCUACAAAGUCCAAUAUAUAUUGGCGGUGACUCGUACUCUGGGACAACUGUUCCAAUUGUUGUUCAAACAAUAUCAAAUGGGAAUGAUGCGAAGACCAAUCCAGUGAUUAAUCUUAAGGGUUACAUACUUGGAAAUCCUAUGACGAUUAAUCCAGAUGAAUUAAACUAUAGGAUCCCAUUUGCUCACGGUAUGGGACUUUUAUCUGAUGAACUGUACAAGGUGUUAUUGUCCAACUGUAGAGGAGAAUAUCAGAAUAUAGCUCCAGAAAAUUCAGCUUGUUCUAAUAGUGUUCAGACAUUCAAUAAGUUAUGCGAGGGAGUAAAUCAAGAGCAUAUUCUAGAGCCUAUUUGUGAUCGUGUUUCGUUAAAGAGAUUCAGAUCAGUUGGCUGGAGAACAUCCCAUUAUGCGAAGCUCCACAACCUCAAGAAUUCAAUGGUGCUUCCCGGAGUUAAAUGUCUUGAGGACUGGCGCAAGCUUUCUAUUCAUUGGGCCAAUGAUGACAGCGUUCGAGAGGCUCUUCAUGUCCGAAAGGGAACCAUCCAACAUUGGACACGAUGCAGGGGAGACUUAUCUUUUACAUACAAUGUCAAGAAUGUUGUGCCAUAUCACACCAACCUUAGCGCUAAAGGUUAUAGGUCACUUAUAUACAGUGGUGAUCAUGAUUUGACUAUCCCCUUUAUUUCAACUGAAGCAUGGAUUAGAUCACUAAACUACUCAGUUAUCGAUGAUUGGCGGAAAUGGAUUGUAAAUGGCCAAGUUGCUGGCUACACGAAGACUUAUUCUAAUAAUUUGACAUUUGCAACUGUGAAGGGAUCAGGCCAUGUUGCUCCUCUUUGGAAACCUUUAGAAUGUUUAACCAUGCUUACAAAAUGGAUCUCUUACAAACAACUUUAGGUUUUCUCAAGGUUUAGGAUGCUGAUAACUGAAAUGGAUGAUGUUGUUUCUUAACUGAUGCAUGUCGGAUUUUUCAAAAGUUGGGCAACUUUGGAGGACGUGACACGGAGUUGGAAAAAUAAUUUUUAGGAAUCGCUGGAAGGAACUCAUUGAACUACAACAAGAGCAGGAAGUAUCUUAAUUCCUCUGAUUGACACAAGAAGCAAGGCCAAAGAACAAAAGCUCGAGCAUAAUGAUGAAUUUGUAGCGUCUUAUGUGGAUACUUUGUUGAAUUUGGCAUUGCCAGAGGAAAACAGGAACCUCAAUCAUGGAGAAAACGUAAGCCUCUGUAGUGAAUUUCUAAGCGUCAGAACUGAUACGAUGUCCACUUUCUUAGAGUGGGUUAUGGCCAACUUGGUCAAAAAACCCUCCAUUCAGGAAAAACUAUAUCAAGAAAUUGCCAGUGUAGUGGGAGACAAUCAGUUCACAGAAGAGGUGGUGAAGGAAGAAGAUUUGCAAAAAAUGCCUAACUUGAAAGCAGUGGUAUUGGAAGGUCCUAGGCGGCACCCACCGAGUCACUUUGUGCUACAUGGGGAAAGGAUGAGAUAACGAAGGGUUUGAUAUAACAGGAAGUAGGGAUAUCAAUAUGAUGUCAUUCGGCGCAGGGAGGAGAAUACGUCCAGGCUAUGCUUUGGCUAUACUUCACUUGGAAUAUUUCGUGGCUAAUUUGGUUUGGCGUUUUCAAUGGAAGCCUCUGGAAAGAGGUGACAUUGAUCAAAUUCACUGUUAUGAUGAAGAAUCCACUACGAGAUUAUAUUUGCCCCAGAGUUGUUUCCGUUUGAAUUUAGUAAUUGGUUCUUUUUAUUUGCAUCUUCUCUGUUGAUAGACUUCCAUCCCAUGGGAAGUUAGAGGGAAAAUGAUGGGUAAUGCCUUGUUGUAGUGUCAGCUCAGCUUGUUUGAGUGGUUGACUGAUACUUUAAUAAAAUAUUAGUUUUAAUUGUUA